RNAcentral lists this ribosomal RNA (482 nucleotides) under Desulfomicrobium orale. RNAcentral's name for it is "bacterial SSU rRNA". It matches the Rfam family "Bacterial small subunit ribosomal RNA", at positions 9 to 474 of the family's 1533-position model. The record is from RNAcentral. Lineage: Bacteria; Pseudomonadati; Thermodesulfobacteriota; Desulfovibrionia; Desulfovibrionales; Desulfomicrobiaceae.
GAGUUUGAUUCUGGCUCAGAAUGAACGCGGCGGCGUGCCUAACACAUGCAAGUCGAACGAGAAAGUUCCUUCGGGAAUGAGUAGAGUGGCGCACGGGUGAGUAACGCGUGGGUAAUCUGCCCUUGGAUUUGGGAUAACUUCGCGAAAGCGGAGCUAAUACCGGAUAGUCUGGCUUUGUAAAAGGAGUCGGUAAAGGAUGCCUCUGCAUAUGCAUUCGUCCGAGGAUGAGCCCGCGUCUCAUUAGCUAGUUGGUAGGGUAACGGCCUACCAAGGCGACGAUGAGUAGCUGGUCUGAGAGGAUGAUCAGCCACACUGGGACUGAAACACGGCCCAGACUCCUGCGGGAGGCAGCAGUGGGGAAUAUUGCGCAAUGGGCGAAAGCCUGACGCAGCAACGCCGUGUGAGGGAUGAAGGUUUUCGGAUCGUAAACCUCUGUCAGAAGGGAAGAAGUGAUGCGGGUCCAAUAGGCCCGCAUUUUGACG